This is a long non-coding RNA of Chelonia mydas (Green sea turtle), 399 nucleotides long. RefSeq lists it as uncharacterized. NCBI's taxonomy places the organism in Eukaryota, Metazoa, Chordata, Testudines, Cheloniidae. The transcript has 3 exons. The record is from RefSeq and is a predicted model, not a curated record.
AGGAAAUUGGGAAGUGAAGAGAAGAAUCCUCCAUAGCAUGCCAUAGGCCUUGGUGGCUGCAGACCAUCUAUGCUUUCUCUAGCAUAGUGUAAAUGAGGGCAGACACACUAUAGAUAUAAAAGCCUAAGCAACCAUAAGUGGAAGUUUAUUUCCAGAAGCCAUGAUUCUGGAAGGUGCUGAAAUGACAUAGAAUUCAAGACUUUGGAAUAGUACAAAAUCAGGCCUCCUGGAAAUAAUGGCAACUCAUAUUGAAGUCUGCAUCAAAACUCAGUGGAAGACAUGUAAAAAUCUGGAAACUUUGCACCAGGCUCUGGAAGCAGCACGAACUGACAACAGUCACCUCCAUGAGGAAAGUGAGUUAGUGGUUGCAAAUGUUAAUCAGUGGAUCAAAGAACAAAA